AUUGAACGCUGGCGGCAUGCCCUACACAUGCAAGUCGAACGGCAGCACGGGUGCUUGCACCUGGUGGCGAGUGGCGAACGGGUGAGUAAUACAUCGGAACGUACCUUAUCGUGGGGGAUGACGCAGCGAAAGCUGUGCUAAUACCGCAUACGCCCUGAGGGGGAAAGCGGGGGAUCGCAAGACCUCGCGCGAUUAGAGCGGCCGAUGCCUGAUUAGCUUGUUGGUGGGGUAAAAGCCCACCAAGGCGACGAUCAGUAGCUGGUCUGAGAGGACGAUCCGCCACACUGGGACUGAGACGCGGCCCAGACUCCUACGGGAGGCAGCAGUGGGGAAUUUUGGCCAAUGGGGGCAACCCUGAUCCAGCAAUGCCGCGUGAGUGAAGAAGGCCUUCGGGUUGUAAAGCUCUUUUGUCAGGGAAGAAACACCGGCUCUAACACAGUCCGGGAAUGACGGUACCUGAAGAAUAAGCACCGGCUAACUACGUGCCAGCCGCCGCCGUAA
This 501-nucleotide ribosomal RNA is filed under the name uncultured bacterium. RNAcentral's name for it is "partial 16S ribosomal RNA". It matches the Rfam family "Bacterial small subunit ribosomal RNA", at positions 29 to 523 of the family's 1533-position model. The record is from RNAcentral.